Molecule: unclassified non-coding RNA, 345 nt
Filed under: soil metagenome
Description: partial contains 5.8S ribosomal RNA, internal transcribed spacer 2, and large subunit ribosomal RNA
Rfam family: 5.8S ribosomal RNA (bases 1-120)
Source: RNAcentral
GAUGAAGAACGUAGCGAAAUGCGAUACGUAAUGUGAAUUGCAGAAUUCAGUGAAUCAUCGAGUCUUUGAACGCACAUUGCGCCCCCUGGUAUUCCGGGGGGCAUGCCUGUCCGAGCGUCAUUGCUGCCCUCAAGCACGGCUUGUGUGUUGGGCCUCCGUCCUCCUCCCGGGGGACGGGCCCGAAAGGCAGCGGCGGCACCGCGUCCGGUCCUCGAGCGUAUGGGGCUUCGUCACCCGCUCUUGUAGGCCCGGCCGGCGCUUGCCGACACAUCAAUCUUUUUUCCAGGUUGACCUCGGAUCAGGUAGGGAUACCCGCUGAACUUAAGCAUCUCAAUAAGCGGAGGA